Molecule: long non-coding RNA, 966 nt
Organism: Lepidothrix coronata (blue-crowned manakin)
Lineage: Eukaryota; Metazoa; Chordata; Aves; Passeriformes; Pipridae
Exons: 3
Source: RefSeq, a predicted model, not a curated record
UUAGAGUGUAGAAUUCUAAAAACAAUAUAUAGCCAAAGUAUGUCUUUCUGUUGAGGUCAGUUUUCUCUAUAACCAUCUACCACGUCUAUUCUAGGCCCAAUAAAAUUCUUCUCUUUUACAGCUCACGGUGACAGAGAACACAGCACAUUGUAACUACAGGACUUUCACUCGACUGUGAAAGAUCUCCAUCAAGCCUCACAGAGAAUUUGAGGCAGCUGGCAGUUAUCAGCUGAAGCAGGUAGUCAGUAGAAGUGUAGAAGAUAAAUAGAUAAUUGAAAACCAAUCUGGAAACCUGGGAGAGAUAAUAAGUCUCUCUUCUAGAAGGGAGACAACAACUCAGAAAAUAUUUUCCUCCUGAAGUUCCUCACCUCAAAUGGAUGCAUUUUAGAGCUUCUCUUAUCUGAUGUCAUGAUCUUUUUCUACUGAAAUGGGAUUGCUCCAUCUCUACAACAUAACAAUGGCCAUGAACAAAGACUGGUUCAUAGGUGUUCUUUUCUGCUUCCAAGGAAAAGGAUGGGCAAAGGAGGAACAUAAUUUGCAUUACCUCUCUUCAGAAGGGAGUUUACAGCUCUAGUCUUGAGUUAAACAGCCAUUUAUGCUGAAGAACAUGUAGCCCAGAGCUCUGCCUGUCAUCUUUGUGUAUGUGUGUAUCUGUGUAUGUGUGUAUGCCUGUGUGCCUGUGCGUGCCAAAAGAAUAGUACCUGCUUUGAAAACCUUUGCUUCUGUCACAUAUUUCCUAAAUUGGACACACAGGUAGUCUCAAUAAAAAAUACCAGCUGUCUUAGAAAUAUUCAGUUGCCUAGAUUUUGAUAAAGUACAAUAUAAAUUCAAGAAUUUUUUCUUCUGUUCUUCUGAAAAACUAUUAUUAACAAAAUUGAAAGUGAAAAAUGAGUCUGUGAGGUCAGACUUGCUCCUAAAUACAAUUUGCUUUUACCAUUCUGGUAUUACUGUUAUGGCUAUUAUGAC